Molecule: RNA transcript, 12488 nt
Organism: Homo sapiens (human)
Lineage: Eukaryota; Metazoa; Chordata; Mammalia; Primates; Hominidae
Exons: 6
Source: RefSeq, a predicted model, not a curated record
GGAGCGCGGGAGGACCGGCCUGCCUGUGCCCGGCAAAGGGGGCCCUUCCGAGGCGGGCUCCCUUCCCCGCCGCUCCCGUAAGCGCGGGAGCCAGAGGACCCCAGACCCGCCGCGGCCCACCCCAAGCCCCGAUCAAGUCCUGCAGCGCGGGAGGGACCCCUGCAGGCGCGGGGCCAGACGGGCGACAAAGCGGCGGACUGCGAGGGCCCUGAGGAAGCCGGCGGCGCGGGGUCAGGAGCAACCUGCUAUUCGUAGGGUCAGGAGCCCACGCGUCCCCACUGCGGAGGGCGGGGUCGCAGCCAGGCCUCCCCGUUUCUAGCUGUGCGGCCUGGGGCGAGGUGCUUGACCUCUCGGGGCCUCAGUUUCCUUCUCUAUGAAGCGGAGCUGAUCGGCCGCGUCCCGGGGCUGCUGUGACAGUCCAAGGCGAGAACAGCAGCUCCGCGCCGCCCCUGGUGCUGGAGAACCGCUGGGGCCUCGGGAGAGGGCGCGGCGCGGCGGAGCGGCCCUGGCAGCCGGAGGGCGCGUGUGGCCAGGGCCGAUCCUGCACUGCCCUCUGCGGGAUGGCCCGGCCCAGUCCUCGACCCCCAGCACCUCCGCCGCCCGGCCUGGCCACCACCUCCGCUCCACGCGCCCAGGCCGCUCCCGUCGCGGGUCUCGGAGAUUCUCCCGCGCCCAGGGGUGUCCCGCAGCCCCGGGCCUCAGCACCCAGCGCUCCCUUCUCCACGACGACAAUGAGGCGGACCCUCCCCAGCGCCCUCCAGAGCUGUCGCAUCCCGGGAGGUCAGGGCGAGUGUUGUUUGCAUUUCACAGAGCAGGAAGCUUAGGCACAGACAGCGGCUCCCCGACCCUCGCUCGGCCUCUGCUGAGCAGGGAACGGCCUGAACGCGUCCGGCCAAGCGCCGCCUCCGGCCUCUGCCCGCGGCCCGGCGCGCCCUCCUCCCCAGCGCGCCCCUAUCCUGCACGCAUCCGCGGCCCCGGGCCCUUUCCGCAGCCCCACGCGGUCUCCUCCCGGGUUAAAUCUAUCCACUCGCGCGUUCCUUGGCAGCCGUGAUCACAGGCGUGACCACGGUCCCCAAGCCCUCGCGCCUCCGUCCACGCUAUUGCGGCCGCCCCUGCGCGCCUGUCCCCUCCCUGUCCCCUCCUUCCAGCUCUGGAAACAGCAGCACCGGAAGCCCCCUGCCCCAGACUCACUGCCCACCCCCGGCCGAGCUGGCUGCCAGCCGAGCCCCUUGGAUCUCUGCGCCCCCCCGGGCCCCCCACCACUCCACAGCCCUGCGUGUCUCUGCUCUUUCUCAAAGUAAAGCCCUUCAAGUGCCAUCCACUUGCGUCUCCCAUUGGGAUCCCCCUUCUCCCACCCCACAGCCCCUCCUCUGAAGCCUUUCAUGUCCCUCAGUCUGGCUGCGACUCCUCCUUCUCCUGCCCUCCUGCUGGGUUCCCUGCCUUCCCCACUGGCGGCUUCUCCCCUGUGCUCUCCACCGGGUUUCUCUCUUCUACAUUCCCUGGAAACCCAUCCAGUUCUUCAGACACAAUAAUUCUCCUAUGACCCCCAAAUAUGUGCAGCCUGGACGGUGCCCUGAGCUCCAGACUCCUACAUCCAACUCCAGGCCAAGCCGGAUGCCUCGCCUGGCACCCGCCCCAGCCCAGACCUGUCCCCGCCCGCAACUUCCCAAACUCAGAAAAUGACAACUCCUUUCCUCCCUUUUCUCCCCACGCAAACUUUACACUUGUCCCUGACUCCCCUCUUUCUCUCCAGUCUCACGUUUAUUCCGUCAGAAAAUCCCAUGGCUCUCCCUUCCAGACAUGGCCAGAACCCGGCCUCCCGGGCUAAGCCAAGGCAAGCUGCCUUUGCUCUUCCUGAUGGUCACGGCUGCACCUUCCCUGGGCUCCCUGCCCCUGGUGUGGCCACCAUAAGUCCCCACCCAUCAUCCUUUCUGAACCUAAGUCAAAUCACAUCAUUCUUCUGCCAAAACCCUCCAAAGACUCUCAGCUUGCUCAGCGCACAGCCCGGUGCUCCUGGAGCCCACAGAAGGGGCACUGCCCUGGCUUCCCCUUCUGCCGCCGCGGCCGCUGAGGUGCUCCUCACUCAGACAAAGCUUCCUCCUGCUUCAGGCCCAAGGCACCAGAAGCUUCCUUCACCCGGACGCUCCUCCCUCAGACAUCUGCCACCUCAUUCCCACACCUCCUCCCAGUCUGCUAAAAUGUCACCUUCUCCAUGAAAUUGCACCUGCAGCCUCCUUCCUGCAGUGGCCUGUCUCCCCUGCCCUGCCUCCCGGUUGUCUUGGACUUGCAGCCAUCUGGCUGGCCCAGGGUCUAUUAAAUGCACUAUCUGGCUCACAAGGGUAGUAUGUGGGUCCCUUUGCUCACCACUGCAUCCCUGUGCCUUGGGCAGCCCUGGCACAUGCCAGGUGCCUGGCAAGCAGCUGCUGAGUGAAUAGCACAUGGACGGCCCCGUGCUCCGUUCUCAGAAGCAGGAGUUGCAACAAGGUGGUCCCAGGGGCGAGUCUUCGUCAGUCCCAGGGCACUCCAGCCUUCCACUCCCACUGCAUUUCAUCCAGGGCCGGAGCGGGUGGUCCUGACCUCAGCGCCCUGGAUGGCCAGAGGGUCAGCAUCAAAGCCGGAUUAGCUCCCCAGCUUAGCCCUGGCUGCCACAUUCUUGUGACAGUUGUAGAACUGGAGAGCAUCGGCGGGCCCAGUCUCAGCCUUGGACUCGGAGCUCUGGGAGUCCCUGCUACCACACAUGCUCACACUCACACGUGCACACUUGCGCGCGCACACACACACACACACACACUUGCUAGUGCUGCCACCGGUUAUGGAGCCGGGGUCCUCAACUUUGCUAACAACUCCUUGCAGCCCAACAGGAGACUGAACCCUGGGCGGACCCUUCCUGUCAAGACCCUCUUGUGUAGCAUCUCAUUUGCAGGAAGGAGGACCUUGCCUGCCCAGAGGGCAACACGGCUUGCAGCCCCUGCUGCUGCCCACCCCAAGGGCAGGGCUGGCUCCACUGUGCCUGCUCAGCCAUGGUGAGGGAGAGUUCCUCCUCCCAGACAAGCACCAGCCUCUCCCAAAUAGAAAGGCUACAAGCGACCCUACUGGUCACCAUGUAGACCAAACAAGGUAACCCUGGGAAUGCUCAGAGCAUAGUGGCUCUCAGGGACCAGGGUGGUAAUGACCAUGGCUGUAGUUAGCAUAAUUCCAAGCUUGGCUUGAUGCAGCUUGAAUCACAAUCAACCCCUCAACUGGCUCUUAUUUUGUUUUGCCCUCACCUGGGGAAAUUUGUUCUCCCCCUUCUUCCUGGCGCGUGGCACCUUUGUCAGUCUCUUUCUCCAGUUCAAAGGGAAACUGCUCUCUGAACAGCAAUCAGAACCACAAGCCAGGGGUUCCAGGCUCUCUCAGCCUUGGCAUCGCAGAGAUGGGGAACACCAGGCUUUUCGUCUGCAUGAACAAAGCCGUGGGCAUCCCACCAGGAGGUUGCGUCUGGCUUGCUUGCCUCUGUCCAGGGAACCUGGCCAGCCCUGGUACCUAGUAACCUGUGUCAAAUCACAUUUUAUUCUCUUUCUGUAAGAAUUAUUGUCUGCAGUUUUCCCCAUCACUACCACCACCAAUCCAUUAUCCCUUCGGUGGAGUUGUAGUCAGGAGAGGGCUGACAUUUGUCUGGCUUUGUGUGGCGGUCACGCGCCUUGCAAGUAGGAGGUGGCCAAUCCUUGAUUUAAAACGAGAGAGCACUUCUGCUUCUGGCCAAAAUGGAGUAACAGGCUUCUUUACCACACCUGCAGCAACUGAAAUAAUCAGACAGAAUACAUGAGACAGUGGCUUCCAAGACCCCGACAUCAGGCAAAAUUAAAUGCAGUGAUCCCAGAGAGAAAGGAAACAAGCAAGGAUCCCUUCUCUGGACAUUGAGGCUCCUUGGAGGAGAGCAGGUGUCUGGUCCGCAGGCAGAUGUCUGAUGCGAGGGACCCACGGUAACUCCACCCUGCAGACCGGGCCACAGAGGCAGCUUCUCCGGGGCCGCUUGGCUCUGAGGAGUGGGGUGACCAGAAGAUUCUGGGUCUACUGGAUUUUGAAAAAAGGCAGACAGCAGAGUGAGACGGAGACAGUCUGGAGAGCCAGCCAGCAGAACUCUGCACAGCUGUAUUCUCCACCUCCCACCUUGCGCCCUGCUGUCCCCGGGGUCGUGGACCAGCAGAGGGUGGGCAGGAGACCGCAUUCACAGUGUGGCUCCUCACUGUCAUCCCAGAGUCUCCCCUCACGAGCACCCCGGCUGCAGGGUGUAACCUGAGGCCCUAGCAGGGCCCAUGGAGCUUCUGCUGCUUUUCCCCGGGGGCCCUGAUGUGACAUUUCUCGUCCAGGAAGAGGAUGGAAGGUGAGGUCCCUCUCCACACUGCACCUGCCACCCUGGGGCUCCCCACCCACCUGCGCAGGAGGGAGGAGCAGGGGACACCCUUGGGAGGGCGUUUCCUUUAAAAACAUCAGACCACGAACCAGGGCCCAAUGGGGCGGCCCAGAGGCAGUGGAAGGGAAAGCGGAGCUCGAUCUGGGUUUCGGCCCCAGCAAGUCCCCUCCCCCGGUUGACCCAAAUUUCCCACUAUAAAGUGAAGGCGGGAGCUGGACUCCAGCUCGCGGAGGAAAUCCGGCCGCCGCGCAGCGGGCUGAGGUGGAAGGUGUCAUCGGUCAUCCUCGUCAUCUUGAUAUUCACCUGGGACCCUUGUGGGAACCUCUUUCCCUAGUUUGCCACCAGCUCUGCCUCUCCCUCACCCACCUGUGACCCAAGCACAUUCUCGUGACCUCUCUGAGCCUCAGUUUCCUUAUCUGUCAAGUCGAGAUCACAGCACUGACCUCCAGGGCUCACUGGGAAGCGGGGAUGAGGUGGUGCGCAUUGCAGUGACUGGCACCGGCUGUGAGCUCAGAACACGGCGGCUGGAGCUAUCCGCCAGCAACUCUUAAGCCAAAGCCCUCACCGGGCUGCCUGCCAGCUGUCAGAGACCAAGCUCCAGGUGACCCCUCCACCGAGAGCAGUUCCCCCUUCCCCCUUCUGAGCGCCAGGCAGGUCCACAGCCGCCCUGCUCCGGAGUGGGUCCCAGGUGGCAGGCGGGGGUAGAGAGGAUUCAGGGUGCUGCCUUCUGUCCUUCACACCCUGCAAGGGGCCCCUUCCAAUCAGAAGCUGUUUCCAUGGCAACCCUGCUGGGCCCCAUCCUCCCCUUUGCAGCCAAAGACUCCACCUCGGGCCGGCCUCGCCACUGUCCCUCCUUGAAGGCAUGAUUGGUCUCUUCUCCCCUGUGAGUAUGUCCAACACGUUUGAACAGAGUCGCUUCUCACAGCCCAUCCUCAAAGCCAGCACCGGGGCCCAACACCCCGCCCCCCACACGCCGCCCCUCUCUCAGCUGUGGCCCCGCCUGCCCAGCAGGGCAGAUUGCCUGGCAAGCAGUCAGCUUGUAAUUAGCACUCAUUAGCGCUCCAGCAAUCUGCAGACAAGUCACCUGUGGCCAAGUCCCUUCUGAACGAUUGCAAUGAUUCCUGUGGGUUUCAAACAUCAAAGGAUGCGGAGCUGAGCGAGAGGCAGGCAGCGCCCUUUGUGCUUAUUUCUGCCCCUUCCCGCUCUUGCACCCCAGAAAGUUCUCAUCUGUGGAAUGGGCCGGGGCAGGGAGGGUGGCUGAGGUAGCACUCGCAGCGGGCCUGGGGAGCUGAAUGGGGCUGGGUCCUGGCCUCCCAGCCAGCUGCCCUUCCUGAGAAAGCAUCUCUGCAAACACGGUGUGUCCACGAGGUCCCUGCAGGAGGAUACUCACAUCCAGCCAGAAGAUGAGGCUGCUGUGUCGGUGGCCAAGGCCUUCCAGUGCCGGGGCUGGAGCGCCUGCAGGUGGUGUAAGCAGAGGGGGCGUCGUCCUCGGGGAGCUCACAGCCUGGGGAGAGGCAGAGGGGUCGUGGGGUAGACCCAGGGCCCAGCACUUCUAGAAGAGAGAGCAGAGGGGCUGGGGAGAUGGCCCGUGGUCCCCACACAGGGAGAGAAGAGCAUGUGCAAAGUCCCAAAGCAGAGGGCAUCUGGGCCAUGACGACCACUAGCCAGUCAGACAGGGUGGCCUCCCCACAGCUGACACCCUCCGGCCUUCCCUCCCUCCUUCCCACACACUCCCUCCCUCCUUCCCUCCCCCUUCCCUCCCUCCUUCCCUCCCUCCCCCUUCCCUCCCUGCUUCCCUCCCUCCUCCCUACACACUUCUGCCCUUCCUUCCUUCCUUCCUUCUUUCCUCCCUCCUUCCCUCCCUCCCUUCCUCCCUCCCUCCCUUCCCCCCUCCCUCCCUCCCUCCCUCCCUCCCUUCCCUCCCUUCCCCCCCUUCCUCCCUCCCUCCCUCCUUGCUAUCAUCUAGUGGGCAAAAAAUAGACUCUACUUUAGAGUCAAAGACUCUUAGACCUCAAAUGCUCUGGUCCUGGGCCCAACUGGCCCAGUUCCCAAAUGGAAGAACUCAGCAACAGGGAUUUGCAUGAAUCGUGCUGCGCCCGACGGAACCGUGGCCAAGGCCCAGACCCCUGGACCCCUGCUCUGUGACCUUCCCAUGACACAAAGCUGCUGUGGCCUCCACCCCGGCCAGGGUCAGAGAGUGCUCUAAAAAAAAAAAAAAGCCUGCCACAUUUCUCUUCUGGUUUCAAAUUGAUGAUCCGAGAAUAAUUGGCUCUAUAGGCAGAGUAGGUCCCUGUACACAAUGCAACCUUCAGAGAUAGGACAGGACGUGUUGGCAAAUCCUCCAUCCUCUUCUGAAGGAUGCUCGGGGCAGAGGAGAGGCUCGGACAUCAGGACAGGCUCUGGGAAGGCUCUUGGUGUCUCCCUGUUGGGGGACCUCUGCUGUGACUUGGGGGACAUGUGCAGCCAUAUAAGGAGGGAAGGUCAGCUGCCUCCACCGCGACCACCUCCUGACCGUGCAGUGACUGCUUAAGAGUGACAGCUCCUCAGGCCCUGGGAACAGCAGGGAGGGGGCUGGUGACAGAGGCUUUGGGGAAAGCAGGCCCCAUGGCCUCCAGCCUGCCUGGACUCAGCCACCUGCGGUGACCUCCUAGUGUCCAGGCCCCAGGCCACCCAGGGGCUGCUCCUGGCAGCUCUGGGCAGUGGUCAAGUCCUUGAGGAAAAGCAGAAAAGGUGGCCGGGCUGAGGGCUCCCAGGACUGUGGGGCGGCUGAACCCUGCCCAGGGUCCGUCUGCUGGCCAGCCGCCUCCGAGGAUGGUCUGGCUUUCCCAUCACGGUUUGUCAGGAAUGGGGUCGGGGCUGGGGCGCAUGUAUUCGUAUUCCUCAGAUAUCCCUGUUGCCCGGUCUGCCUUGGUGCGGGAGAAGACGUUCCGGCUGCACCCCAUGAGUUCCGGGGGGGGAAGGAAGGAGAACGCACGGGAACCAUCGAUCCCAUUGAUUUGCCGGGGUUGUGGGAAGACGCUUCUCUCCUGCGGGAUUUUUUAAAGCGCAGUUUGGCUGGGCUUGGGUUUCUUCUUCACUAAUUGAAUUCCAUUUGUGCCGGAGAGAACAGAAAAAAUACUGUUUGCCUCCGCCCGGCCCCUCCCCCUGCGGCGAGGAGGAGAAGGGCAAGUGCGGAUAGAGGGGACGCCUUUCAGGCCGUGUGAACGAGCCCCAGCCGAGGUGACCCGAGCGGCCACGGCUCGGCACAGGGCAGGUGUCCCCGGGACAAUACCCCCCGGCCCCCCGGGCAGCCUUCAGGGGCAGUGGCAGGCACUGGGGAUGGGAGGGCCAGGGACCACCCCGGGGAGAGAAUGCUGGAGCCAGCCGGGGUCCUGGGGGCAGGGCCUGAAGGAAGUCCCCGGGCACCCGGGCCCUGAUGAAUGCAGCCGCGGUUGAGAAUCGCCCGCGUGAAUCCCUAUUCAGAGCGGAGCCCUUGUUCUCGCCGAGUCUGCUGCCUGGGCAGCCGCAGAUGUCCCAGAGCAGAGUGGACGAUUCUGCAGACACAAAGGCGCUUGUGGGGAGCUGGUGCUGCGUUUUGUUUGGGUUUGGGUUUUUCGUGCCUAAGCCAGUGAAGCGAGCGAGGCCUUCGCUUAAACUUGACCUCCUGGUGGCUCCCAGCACCCCGCUGGCCAGCCGGUCCCAGGAGGGCUGCAGUAAGUCAGUGAGUCCGGGCCACUUGGAUGCCACCCGGCCCCAGCGCCCCCGUGGCAGCUGUUCCCCGGAGAGCAGUGGUGACCAUGGGAAUGAUCGUGACAGUGACAGUGCCCUCCCUGCUCACGGGGUGUCUUCUCAUUUCCAUGUUAAAGAUGAAGAAACUGAGGCCGGGAGGCUAAGCGGCUUGCAUCUAUGUUCACACAGCCCCACAAUGUCCGGAGUGGGUGCUUCCCGCCCAGGCUGUCUCUUGGACGUCCCUGUGCCCAGCCCUGUCCUGGUGUUCCUUGAGGGGAGGAGGCUGGGGCUACCCAGCUUCUGGGGCUCAGGGCCUUUCCAUCCUUGGGGACCGCCUGUGGCUGGCAGACACCUCCCAUCUCAGGGUCAGACCUCCCUGCUGUCUAUCACGCCUUAUGGGGGAUAUGCCCAUUGAAGACUUUUUUUUUUUUUGGAGACGGAGUCUCACUCUGUCACCCAGGCUGGAGUACAGUGGGAUGAUCUCAACUCACUGCAACCUCUGCCACCUGGGCUCAAGCAAGUCUCCUGCCUCAGCCUCCUGAGUAGCUGGGAUUACAGGCACCUGCCACUGCGCCUGGCUAAUUUUGUAGUUUCUAGUAGAGAUGGGGUUUCACCAUCUUGGCCAUGCUGGUCUUGAACUCCUGACCUCGUGAUCCACCCACCUCGGCCUCCCAAAGUGCUGGGAUUACAGGCGUGAGUCACCGCGCCCGGCCCCAUUGAAGACUUUAUCUGUGACCGACAUCGUUGAGGAUGGGAGGUUGAACCCCAGUGGACAGUCACUUCCACCCUGGCUCUUACGGCUGCACGAGCCAGGCUGAGAAUUCUGCAGGUGCCGUUGUCUGUGGUCUGACUGUGACCUGAACCUGGCGGCUGGCAAGCUCCGUGUGUCUCUGAGGCGUCUUGGCUCUGCUGCACCCAGAGGUUUAAUGAACGUGAGAAAACAUCGCACGGGAGGUGCUGGCAAACCCCCUCCCGACAAGGGCCACAGUCCAGGUCCUGGGAGGGGCUCACGCUGCUCAGCCGCCAAAGAUAUGGGGAAGCCCCCCAGACCAGUGACCCAUUAUCCAUAUCCAUGGGGGCCUAAGGAGAAGGGGACUUGCCUUCAGGUAGCUCCCAGUCCGGUGAUCCCCCUGCCGACAAGCGCCCAUGUGUGUAAAGUGGGGUAAUGGAGGUGGCUCAGGGAGCACUGACCGUGAAACAGGCGAAGUGGCCACUGCCUGAGCGUUCCACAUUGUUCCAGCGCCAGCCUGACGGGCAUUUGUGGGCAUUGGGCGGAGCACCUAUGACAUCGACAGAACCCCAGCGCCCGCCCCAGAGGACAGCGCCGAUGGAGAGGAACCAGGGGCACAGAGACGUUAACUGACUUUCUCCCAGUCACACAGCAGUAGAGGAAAGGGCCUAGGCAACCCCACCCUCCCAGGCUCCCAGCAGUAGAUGGAUGAAGGAUGAGGGGACACCUAGGGAGGAGGGCAGGGAUGGGAGGACCAGGAGCUAAGGCUGGGAGCCGGGAGGAAGGCGGCCGGCACUCAGGUGAGUGUGGGGCCAAUGCCAGGCCCUGGGCGUGGAACCGGGGAGUUCGUGUUUCAGCUCCACAGCCAGGACUCACUUUGCAGGGAGAGCGAGGGGGAGGGUCACCUGCUCCCUGAAGCCAGGUGUGGGCAGUCAGGCUGGCUUCCUCUCCAGGCCACCUCACCCCACUUCCACCCCACCACUUCCACCCCACAGGAGGAGCGUGGGCAGGCAAGUCCCGGCAAGGGUGCUGCUUUCCUGGGCCUGAGCCACGCCCAGUGGCCGUGGGGCUGGGGAGAUGGCAGAUGUGGGGGAGAAUGUUGAGGCUGGUGAUCGGUGAUAGCUGCGGCCCAGCCAGUUUGGGUACUGCAUGCGCCAUCCAAAGCCCCGAGGCCCGGGAGACGAGCCAGCCCAGUCAGAUCGCCAGUGGAGAGCCAGGCCGGGCAGCUGGGAGACCUGGCUGCAACGGUGCCUCUGGGCUCCAGGGGUAGGUUUGGCCUCAGCGGUCCUGACUCAGGAUGCCCCGGCCUUCUCCACGGGUGCCCAGCACAGGGGCUCCUCCCAGGGCCAACACUGCACUCUCCAAGGAUUUACUCUACCCUCUGGAGUGGGACCCCUGGCAUCACCCGUGCCACCCCACCUUCCUUGCUGGGCCAGCCUCCACACGGCCGAGAGUGAUGAUGUGGUUGAUAAUCACCACCACCAUUAUCGAGCCCAUUUCACAUGCUGAGCCCUGAGCCCCAGACACACAUAGCCUGGGCUCGUCCCCUCCUGCCCUGCUCCCGCGCUGUUCGUACCCUCAAGGUCCCUGUGUGUGUUUGCUGCAAGCGGCAUUUGGGUAGGUUCUUUGCAUCUGUUUUCUCUACUCCUUGCAACAGCCUUGUCCCCAUUUUACAGAUGAUAAAUUGAGCCACGCAGAGGAGAGGUAACUCCCUCCUGUCCUCAGAGUGUCCCGAAGACCCUCCUUUGCCUGGUGAGUGACAUACUAGAGCCCGCACGGUGACAGCUCAGGUAUGUGGCACCCCUCGGACCCACCCCUCCCUGGGUGGAGUGGCCCAGCUGUGGUGGGCACUUCCUCACCCAGCCGUGGGCACAGGCCAGACCCUGAGCCCAGCGGCCCUGUAAUUUCAGAUGUAGCUGGGCAUGUGUGUGUUAUUGGGUGAUACUUAAAUCCUAACCUUUUCAAAAGCAAACCCAAGUAAGCACAUAUUGGAGAACCAUAAUUCCAAGCUUGGAGGCCUCCCUCAAGGCGAUGGGGAGUGUGGCAUCGUGACCGCUAACCCGGUCCCUCCGCGGCCUUGGGUUUAAAAGCGUCUGUGUCCAGCCGGGAGGUGAACUCCUGACAGCAACGCCCGUCCAGCCCACACCUCUGCCUGGCAGUGUGCAGCAGGACCCCUGAAGCCCAAGUCGAGAGCAGCGCCUGGUCUCCACCCGAGACUGGGUGGCGGAGAAGCGCUGCCUCUGACCUCAGUGAGCAUGGAGAGGCGGUGACAGGUUUGGACAGUAGAGAUUUCAGCAAUUUCUGGAAGGGUGAGUUGGUGCCGCACAACCUUGCCUGGGAACUGGGACACACGGCCUGGACCAAGCUGUGGUGACAGGGACACCCCUCCCAAAGCCUGGGUUGCCUGCUCAGCCUCACUCCCCCCAGCCUGCAUGUGGCCGCCCCUCCCCUCAGCGAAUUUGUCUGUUUCCCCAUCCACCUGCUCCCAGGCUUCAUUUGAGGCUGGGUCCGAGCACCGCCCCGCAGCCUUCCUGGCCCCAGCCCUUCACAGGAGCCUGCUCGGGGAGCCUCGUGGGCGUCAAUGGAGCUGGACGGGGGGCUUCCUCUGCACCCCCAGUGCAGAGGUGGGGAGCCCUGCCAGGGGUGACUGCCUCCCACUACCCCAUGGGGCCCACAGAGUUGGCCAAGAUGGCCCCCUUCCCACGGGGGCUGAGCAGGGCCCCACUCCCCAGGGACGGGGACUUGUGGGACCAGGAGACACAGCCCAGGGCAGUGGCCGAAGCCACUGCCCCUCCCACCACACCCUCUCGGGCUUGCACUGGUCCCCAGCCCCAUGCCUCCCCUGCUCUUCAUGUUCAUCUUCAGGGGACCCCCUCUGUCCCUGACUGUCCCCUCGCCACCACAGCCUGUCUCAUCCAUCUCAGCUCACCACUCCCACCGCCCAGGGGGUCUCCCUGCCAGUCUGAACAGGACCUGCCUCGGAAGCAGAAUCGGAUUCCGCUGACUGGGACAACGUCACGUGACAGCGAGUCCAGCGCCCGGGGCCUGGGAGAACAAAGGCGGCUGACCCGUCACAGGAGCUGCACGGCAAUGCAUCUGAGACCAUGCGGUGUCACCUUCACAGAAGUGCUCUGGCACAGAGACUCCAGCCUUGCCGGCCUCUCGCCUCCCAAGCACAGAAGCCUCCAGAACGCUGCUUCAAGGACAAGCCCAGGAGACCUGCCAUGCUCAUGCGUGUCUUUGGAAACAGGUUCUCUAAAUUUUGCUUGUGGUUUGUUAAAAAAAAAAAAAAAAUCAGAAGUGUAAUCAAAGACUUCAACAAACGAAGCACCAAAACACUUCAGCUUUGAAAUGUAGAAUUGCAAUGACUGGAAACACGGCUCGCAAAGCAAAAGACAUUAAAAUUCAGUCAUCCCUACAGAAGCCGGACAGGAAUUGAUCACAUCCACUAGUGAAGGCUCAGAAAGUGACAAGAUUUCAUUUGGAAAUCGUACCUGUGUCCUUGGGAACAUCCUGAACCUUGGGAAGCAUCAGCUCAUGGAGUUCCUAUUAACUGGAUAAAUUUAUAUUCUAGAUUGAAAUGGAAUGGAAUUAAGUAGGCCCACGGUUUUGCAGCACGUACAUUUGAAGAAUCAUUAAAAAUCAUCAUAGAAACAA